This is a non-coding RNA of Salvelinus sp. IW2-2015, 3050 nucleotides long. NCBI's taxonomy places the organism in Eukaryota, Metazoa, Chordata, Actinopteri, Salmoniformes, Salmonidae. The record is from RefSeq and is a predicted model, not a curated record.
UCAGCUCGGAGAUUUAAUCUUGCAACCUUCCAGUUAACUAGUCCAACGCUCUAACCACUAGGCUACCUGCCGUCUAACCUCCCCGAUGGUCCACGUAUGUGUUUGUAUAGCCUCCUCAUUACAACCUUAUAAAGCAAAGAAAGAAGGAUCCAGUGUUUGGUUUUCUCUCUUACAAAUGUUAAGAAAUUCAUAAUCAAUUCAACAUUUGCAUUUCUAAUGUUGGCAUUUUCCAAAGCUGCCCCCUCCAGAGGCUGUCCCCCAUGGCCCUGAACAAUAAUGUGGAUGGAGACAAAGAACUCAAAUUAAUCACAUAUUCUAAGGCACAGUCAUGUCCCUGGUUCAUUUGGUACAACAUUCCAGUUUAAAUUGAUUCUAUUUCUAGUGUCCUCGUUAGAGGAAGCAACUAUUUGUCAGUUUCUCCUUUACCCAAACCUGGCUCAGUGUCUUCAGAGACCAAGGUAUGUUUAGGUACCCAGUUCCUUGUGUAUGGUACUACUACCCCCCCCCCCCAUCCUUUCCUUUCUGCCCUUUCCGUUCCAUAUUCCUUGUCUCUCACACUUAAAAAAAAAUCCAGUUCUACUCUUUAUCGUUCCUCCAUUUUUUGUUACAUGAAGUUGGGGAGGGCAAGGUGGGUGGGGUAAAUCCAGAUACACAGUUUGACAAARMAUCCUCCAUGUUGGCYACAAACAUUCUUUGACAAGAAUAUUCUAAUUUGAAUAUUUUUUCUUGUAAAGCUUGGUGCUAACAUGUUGCCGUGAAAGUAGUCUCAAGCAAAGUUUGCCAGUCUAUUUACAUCUCUGGUGGGGUGGGGUAGUGUGGGACUGGYAAGGUUUGGAUUUUUUGUUGCAGCYAAGUCGGAAGGCCGCUGGUUCUGCUGGGCGCUUGGUGAAUAAUGGCAGUAGAGGAGGAUGAGACAGAGGUCUGCUUGCCUUUGCUCAGUACAACAUUCGUCUGCGUGUGCGAGCAGAAUACUGGGAGCAUGAGUCGGCUCUGCGCGGCGGCGUCUCCUCGGACAAGCAGCAGCCCCUGGAGCGGCAGUUUGAGCUGUUCAGUCGUGCCACCUCCGUGCUGCGCGCCCGCGACCUGGGCUCCAUCAUCUGCGACAUCAAGUUCUCAGAGCUGGACAACCUGGAGGCCUUCUGGGGGGACUAUCUGAGUGGAGCGCUGCUAGAGGCCCUGAAGGGGGUGUUCAUCACAGACUCUCUGCGGAGGGCGGCGGGGAGAGAGGGGGUUCGGCUGCUGAUCAGUGUGGACCAGGAUGACUACGAGGAGGGUCGCAGACUGCUGCUGGAUGCACAGGAACAACAGGCCGGCUGCUGGGGACGAAACAGGUCAUGAGCCCAAGGAUAGAGGAAUGAAAAGGAGAAUAAAAUAUGAAAAGGAACAUUUUUAUUUUUUUUCUCCUUUUUAAGUCUCUCAUGCUGAGAACAGAGAAUACAGCCACUCCUAGGUCAGGGGAAUAGUCCCCAGGGAAAACAGCCAAACUUGAAGUGAAGGCAAACUGGACUAAAAGACUUGACACGCUGUUCUGUUUGGAAUUGAUAACACAAGUUGCGCUGAGCCUAGAUGCCCUCAGGGCACUGAGGAAGAGACUGCCUUUGUUACACACACACACACAUACAUACAUACAUACACAGAGACAAACUAAACUUCCACUGUAACACACACACAAACUACCACUGUAUCAAACAUACACGCUCUGUAAAAUCAUCCACAUGAUGAACCAUCAGCGCUGCCUGUAAGACUCAUUGAAGCCUAGAGACAUUUCUUGCUAACAGUGACAGCCCAGAUACCAACUAGACUGUGCGCUAAUGCUGAGAAUUUCUGGUUAUGUUUGAGGAGCGUGUGAGAUGCCCUGCAAGGCGAAAUUCACCCAUCUAAAUAUUAGUUUGCGUUUCCAUUGAAAUGUAUGAUUUUGAAAAGAUGAGCGAGACUGCAGCUCUCAGACACUGAGGGAGAGAUGAUGGGGAAAUGAGAUUAUGUUUUGACCUUUUGGGAGAGAAUUAGAAAUAGAUGUCGAAGUGAAGACUACCUGAGGACAGUGUAGUGGACAAAUCGCUGGUCCUUCGAGAACUCCAGUCCACACACACACACACACACACACACACACACACACACACACACACACACACACCAUGAUCACAAGCCACUGGUAGUCCCAUCACUGUGCCAUGCUAACCCAGGGCCUGAUAGCUGUGGUCAGUGGCCAUCUCAUCUCAGAUGCCAGGAGAUGAUGGGAGUGAUUACCUCUCAACCUCAGCCAACCAUGGAGAACUCAUCACAUCACCACAAGUUGUUGAACAGCAGCUGGGAUAACACACACUAGGCUGUMCUCACCCCGGCUUCCAGCAAGGCCACUGCCUUUCCCAUUGGAACUGGAGCACAGGACAGUGCUUCAGUCAAUAAAACUGAUGUGGAGGAGAUCAAAAUCAGAAGGAUACAUCCUAGUUCCACUCAGCCCUGCCUUGUAGGCCCCACUAGUGGCUCACAGAGCGCUGUCUGUCUCUAGUCUAGUCACCCUGGUGGAACUAAUGCCUGAACUCCUCUGAGUGGGAUCAAUAACCCCUUCUGUCUCUCCACCGCCACCAUGGGAGGAGAAGGAGUAAGGGGAAAGAGAGGAGAGGUAGGAGAAGGGGGAAGAGGGAGAGGGGGGAAGGAUCCCCACCUCCAUCCCGCCUUUCAGCUCCUGGACAGCCGCCUCAUCCUCUGCAGGAUAAGUCUCCUGAUGCAACCAGGCUGCCUGGUCUGCUACAGCACUGUGUCUGGUUCACACAGCCCUAUGUGACCAGGGAUGGAGGCACUCAGGAAAACCUUAGUAGUGUUUUGCUUUUUCUGUGUUUUGGGAUAUGGAUUCGUUAGUGUAGCUUUGUAUUGUUCAUAAGAGAAAAUAACAAAAAUACUGUGUGUUCUAGUUCAUUAACUUAGGGUGAACUUUUGUUUAAGUAGCUGGAUAUUUUAUUUAGGCACUGCAAAAGUGCUGUAUAUUAGUUUAAUAUAUUAGUGGAAAGUUGGAAUUAUUUCAAAUAAAAAUAAAUGAUUUAUCAAAGGUU